GGGCUGUGAGAGUCUUGGUGGGAAGUGUCGAAGCUGGGGGGGCGGCCCUGGGGGCUCGGGUCCUCCCCGUCAGUGCCCCUGCCCCGGGGGCUUCAUAUCCCCCUAGAGAAGUGCUGUGAAAGGAGGGGCUCCUGGCAGGGAAGAUUGGAGCAUCUCCCCACAGCGCUGGCUCCCAGGGGCCCCCAGGGCAGGUCCCUCGGGGCGGCACCUACCUGGACUGCAUUUGGGGCAGCACUCGGUCCCCACUGGGUACUCCUCCUCUUUGCACUGGGGCGUCGCCAGGGUGUAGCGGGGGGACCCCAGAAGGAGGAGAUACAAGGCCUGGAGGGGACAGAUGGGGCGUUGGAGGGGAGCAGCAGCCCAGGCUGCCCCGGAGCCUCGAUAUCAGCCUCUGUGAAAUGGGGCAGCAGCAGCCCCAUAGCUGGAGGUGGCCUGGGAGGGAGGACACAGGUGGGGCCCGACAGGCUCUGGGAAUCAUCCAGGACAGCCCUGGCGUUAGGUGGGGACUGGCCCGUCUCCUGCCUCUGUCCCCAAGUCCACCAGCAUGGUACCCCAAGGACUGGGUCUCUGCUCUCACCAGGGACCACACUCCCUGGGAAGCCCUGAGCCACUCUGGGCUGGACAACUGGCCAUCCUGCCUCUGGCCUGUGCUGGGCCCGCUGAGCCCUGGGGACCCAGCAGGGUCAGAGCAGGACGACCGUCAGGGGCUCACAGGCCAGGCACGGGAGACAGGCUGUUCAGGGCCCGGGCUGGGGUGGGCCAUGAGGGGGCCCAGGGCCCAGGGCUGACUCUGCUAACCCUGAAGUUUCCGCCUGGGCUGGCAGGAAGCCACACGGGCAAGCAGGCUCUCCCCCCCGGCCUGGCCCUGGACUCCACCCUACUCACACAGACACGGACUUUAUCUCCCAGGACAGGGAGGGGCUGAGGGUGGAGAUUAGCCACCUGCUGGGGGCUCCCACCCCAGGGCGGGAACAGCUCAGGCAUCCAAGAACAGCCGGGCCCCGGAGGCACCCUCACCCUGUGCUGGGGGCUCACCUUCGUCCCCUGAGUGGGGUUUCGGGGACGAGGCCCACCAGGAGCUGUUCUAUGGCUUUCCUGUCUGUCUGCUCCCCUACCCCAGGGCCAGGGUGAGUGGGUGACAGAGGGCUGGGUCAGCCUAGGAGAGCCGGGCAGCUGGGGGACAAGGGCAGGACAGGGACAUCGUGGGCAGGGAUGGGGAAGAGGGUACACCCAGGGGCAGGAAUAGGGGCGCUGGGGCGCGGCUGGACAGACAGGCAGGCUCAGGAGACUCACCAGGCUCAGGGCAUCAGCCUUGGGUGCCGGGCUCCAUGGGGGUGGCCCCCAGCCUCGCAGAGGCUCCAUGUCUCUCCUCACGACCCCUCAUUCCCUGGCUGCUGUCCCUAGCCCCCUGCCAGCAGGACGAGCUUUAGCACUUGGGCUUCCUGCUGCCUCGCUGGCUGAAAGAGAAAGAGAAACUGCAGCAGGAGCCAGCGAGGACGGCCUUCGGGGUGAUCUCAGGAAGUAUUCGUCUCCAGUCCCCAAGCAUGUGCCAUUGGGGCCCUAGGCUGCCAGGGGAUCAGGACCCCACAGUGACAGGCAGGGAGGGCCCUGGGAUGCAGUCUGCAGUUGGCAGGACCAGCGGUCCAGAGCAGAGGUCAGGGCAGGGGGAGGGGCGCAGCAUAGGCGGCAGGGGGGAUCUCCUGCUGACCCUAGAGAGCCAGCCUGCAGCUCCUGACAGCAGGAGCCAAGAGGAACCUCCUUGGCUGUGUCUUACCUGUCUCUGUUGAAAAGGGGGGACCCUACGUCUAUGGAAAGGGGGAACCAGCGUCUAUGGAAAGGCGGGAUCCUGCUUCUACGGAAAGGGGGCCCAGCCACUUCAAGGAAACCCCGCCUCCCAGCAGUGCAUUCUGGGCGUGUCCACCCUCUGCCUGGGGCUGGGUCAGGCUGGUUUCCACCUGCACAGCCCUGCGCACGUCUCUGCAGAAGGUGACCCUUCCCCAAUCCCAGGAGGCUGGGGGUCGCUGAGUCCCCAUCAGGACGGGGUUCUCCCCACUCCACCUUCCCUGGAGCCAUGGCCAUCUCCCGAGCUGGGGGACAGGAGGGCAGGCCUGGGAGAGCAGACCCUCAUACACACACCUGGUGCCUAAGAGUCACACUUGGGACUGGUGAGAGGCACCCACCCAGCCCUGGCAUCCUGGAUGGGGAGCGACUGGGGGACCCUGGGAGGAGACCCUGGGCACUGGGGAAGGAACAGGGCAGGAGUGAAGUCCGAGGGCUGGGUGGAGGCUGACCACUGCCCUAUCGGCAAAGCUUCGCAGCGCCCAGAGGCAGCGUCCACCCUGGCCACCAUCACCCGGGACGACCAGCCCAGCCCCACAGACCCUGGUGCUCUGAGGUAGGGUGGGGGUUUGGUGGGACCAGGGGCUUGGGAGCUCCCAUGAGACCCAGCAGCACAGGGUCCCAUCCCCACACCCAGGGGCCUUUUAGAGGGUGCCCCCACCCCGCUCCCCCACGUGCACUCACACCCCCUGCCCCCAGCACUGCCAGGGGGUUUCCAAUGAAGGGAAAGGGGCACCCCCUCUGCACCCUCUGCUUGGUCCCAAGAGCCCUGGGGAGUGCUUUAGAAUGCCCUGGAAACCCCAGCAGCACACGGGUGCCUCAGAGCACACUGCAGGCACCCAGGGCAGGGACAGGGCUCUGGGACCACCUCUGCUCCCUGCCAUGCCCCCAGGGACCUCCCAAGUCCUGGGAAGAUCCUUGGGGUGGGGUUGGCCAGAGAGGGAGGAUGUUCUCCCCACACCUGGUGAGGCCCCCAGGACCCUCGAUCCCGGCUCUCAACCCACCACUCCCUUCAGAUGCCUCCUUUCAUCAGAGAUCCUUUCAUCCACCCCACCCUGGGCAGGUGGGGAAACUGAGGCACAGCAAAGGGCAGGACUUACCCACAGGCAUCAGUGAGUCUCAGCUGGAAUGGGGAGUCCCAUGGCUGGCUCAGCCCCUGUACCCCUGGCCCAUCCCUCCCCACCCAGCCACCUCAAGACUCAAGGCCCUAGAUGCUGAGCCAGCGUCACGCCCCAAGGCAGCAGGGGAGACCCGCCCAGGGAGCCUUCUGUACCAGGUCUCUGCUGAGCCAUGGCCUCUUCAGGAGGCUUUCCUGAUGCCUGAGUUUCCAACCACACCCCCUGCACCCUCACCCAGUGACCCUGGUGUCUUAUUGGUUCCUUGUCUUCCCACCUCCCCCCUGGAAUGCAAAUUCCGUGGCAGGAGUUCUGUGUCCAUUUUAGCAGGAAGACGAAGGGCUGGGCUCCAGUCUCAGCAUCACCAUUCCUGUGCUCACUCCUCACUCGCUGUUCACUCACUCAUUCAGCACCCAGUAGUUCAGGCCAGGCUCAGUUCUGGGCGCCAGACUCAUUGAGGAGGAAAUGAGACAGGAGGAGGGUGCAGACAGGGCUCCUGCCCACGCACCAGGAGUCCCCAUGGCUGGCUGUCGCGUCUGCUCCUCGGCCCCAGGCAUCCAGGAAUCAGGAGCAGGGCAGGACCAGGGUACGCCCCAGGGAGCCCCGCACCUGUCUGAGGCUCCAUGGGGCUCUCGUGCCCCUUACUUAUGGGGGGGGGCAGGUAGAGCCCGCACCCCAGGGCCUCUCCUUCCAGUCAUCCCUGUGAUGUGGGCUGGGAUCCAGGGAAGCCGCCUCUCCUGACUCAGCCAGAGCCUGUGUCCAGGGACCCCAGGGCUCCUGCAGGGUGCCCAACCUCAGGGCCCAGGGGAGGGCCCGGCAGGAGCUUCAGAGGCAUCUGUGCAUGCCUCCCCCCAGUGCAGAUGGGGAAACUGAGGCUCAGCCUCUCCCCAAACCCAACUCUGCCGCAGCAAGAGGAGCCUCCAUCACCUGGCUAUCCCUUGAGACCUGCCCCUGCGCCCACCGUUCCCUCCCAGGGGCUGCCCACCCCACCACAUCGCCGACACCCGGAGCUCCCGGCCAGGACACCUCCCGAUGGGCUGAGGAAUCCCUGAUCACAUUUCCUCCUCUUCUUGAGAGGGAGAUCUCUGGGGUCCCGAGCAUGGGAGAGAUGCUGAGAACCAGGGUGCUUGAGCCCAGGCCUGGAGGGUGGGAGGCAGGGUCGUCCUGAAAGCCCACCUUGAGGCCCCCCCUCCUCUCCUCUGCAUUCUUGGUGGCCUCAGCCCCCUGCUCUGUGGGAGCCCCGGGCUGGGAAGUGGGCUCAGAGGCAAAGCAGCCUGGGCCUCACCCCCUGGGGCUCAUGGUCCAGUGAGGGAGCUGAGUCUAAAAGCCACUGUCAGCGUCAUGUGGUGAGGGCUGGGUAUGGGCAGCAGAUGUGGGCUGGGGCUCUGAAGAUGAACAGGAGUCCUGCUGGGGGACAAGGUGAGAAAGGGCAUUCCCGGAGGAAAGAUGUGGGUUGAACAAUAUGGCCGGGAAGUUCUUGGGGUCCAGCCCUGGUGAGGCAUGGAAGGGGGCCUCGACACAGAGCUGGCCGAGGCUGGCCCCUUGAGGGAGGCUGCAGACCCCGGGUGCGUCCUGUGCACGGGAGACUGUGCAGGUGUCAGGCUGGUGGGGAGGGUGGACGGAGUAGACAGGGGCGUGAUGUCUCCCAGGUGGGAGCCUCUGGGAGGUGAGGAGCAGGGCAGGGAGGGCAGAAGGGCGUGGAGAGAGGUCAACUCCAGGGACGCCCAGAGGCGCAGGGCCUGCAGGAGUCGGUGUCCGACUCUCAGGGUGCGGGUAGAGGUGGACGGAGAGGACGGCAACUCCUCAGCCUCAUGCCUGGGACAGACGGGAGAGAACUGGGGGUUGGGACAGGGGUCAGAGGAGGGGCAGAGUGUGCUUGGGCCACCAGGGACUUCCCAGAGGCCCAGGUGCCUGCUCAAAUCCAGGCUUGUCCUGGGAGCAGAACUGGGGGUGCUGUGGGCGCCCAGACCUGGUUUUGUCUAGCUCCAGACCAGGGUAUCAGUUCUCGUCUCAGACGUCUCCCCAGCGCCCCGUGCCCAGUCCCCCACCAGCCCUCCCAACUCCUCCUCCACAACUCCCCCACCGCCUCUGCUCCCUGGCAAAAUCAGGGCCCUGGGAGGCAGCUGUGUGCCACGCUUCACCUUGCUGCACCCACACCGGGACCCCUUGUGGGCAUGGAGAGGCUGCCUCAAGAGGCUCCUCAGAGGUCUGCUCCCUCCAGGCACAUGCUCUCACCUCGGCACCCCGCCCUCACUCUGGCUCCCCUGCUCUGCCUAGUCCAGACAGCAGCUAGGGACACCCCUAGCUGCCCAUGACACCACGGUCACGGUCGCCCCCUCCCUGCACCCUCUGGGGCCCCUCACCAAAUCCCCCCCCCCGCCCCCCAAGGCCUGCCCAUCAGCCCAGACUUGCCUCUCCAACUCAUGUCUCCCUUUGCUACAGCCACACCAACCCCUUUGCGUCCCUGCUUAUUCCAGCUCCUUCCAUCCCAGAGCCCCACGCAGGCCAUUCCCUCUGCCGGCUCAUCCUGGGAGGUCAUCCUGAUGUCUCUCCUGUCCUCAGAAACAAUCUCAGCUCAUACCUGUGCCGUGCUCCCUGGUGUCUGGCCCUCACCUCACCUACAGGCCCUCCUGCCAUCCUAACCCUCACAGUUACGCUGUGUGAAUAGACGGUCAGGGCCCUAGGGACCACGGCUUUACAGGUCAGGAGACCAGGCGGAGAGCUGGGGCCAGGCCAAGGGAGGCCACCUCUCCAGAAGGAGCAAAGGAGGGUUGGACCAAACAAGUGGCUCCGGCCACUUGGCAAUGAUUCAAUGCUGCCUCCCUGGUUUCAGCUCCAAGAGAGACUUCUGGGAAAUGUUGAAGGUGGAGGGCUCCUCCUGCCCCUGGUUCAACAAGCAAAUGGACAAUCCCAGCCCUCGGAAUGGGACCAGCACCCAGGGGGCCUUUGGGAGCAUCGGGGGCCUCCUGGCUCCACGUUGGGCAGCUGGGCCCGGGGACCAUUGGCCAAGAGCAGGAGAAGGUGAGGAUGGACGGCUGGGAAAGAGAAGAAAGAGGAAAGGGCAGAGCAGCCCAAGAAAGAGGAAGACAAGAUGUGCAGACUCACUGGUGACAGGGAAGAGAAAGUUCCUCAUAGAGGUGUUUACAGGUCAAGACUGGGCCCAGGGGAAGCCAGCAGGACUGAGGAUGGUGAACUCCAUGGAGCACGGAGUGACUAUGCAGUGGGCCAGCCACUCUGGAAGGCAGUUUGGGAGUAAAUGUUAAAUGUCUUAGACCAUUGCACCCUUUGAUCAGGCAAUGUCGUGUAUGAAUUCCACCCUGGAAGUAAGUAUUCUCAUUCCAACGGGAAGAGGUGGACGUACAGGAGAGGACAUCAGCCUUUGAAGGUGCCAGAGAACAUUGGAAAUAACCUAAGUGCCGUCGAAGGGGAACUGUCCCUCUUGCCUGCUGCCGUGAUGGAGUAACACAGCCUGGACUUACCCUCUGCCCCCAAAGCAAGAAACUGAAAACCGUGAAUCAGCUGUGUUCAGAAACUAGGCAAAAGGAACUGGGAUCCCCAGCAGACCAGGGCAGUCCUGCUGAGUUAAGAAGAAAGGGAUCAGGCCUCAGGACGGCUGAAGCUGGUGGACACGCAAGCAGAGCUCCCGAAAGGAGGGAGCUGCACAGACAAAAGCUACAGCCAUCGGCAAGGUCCCCUUAGCAUUGGCUCAAGAACCUGCCGUGUGUGUCACGGAUAAAACUCCACAGUACGGCACAGUGAGCCACUAGGAGCUGUGCACCGAGUGACUCCAGAGCUCACACAGGGUGAGGGGACAUUGGAGUGCUGACCAGCUGGACUUGACUGUCCUCAAUGGUCCCUUUGGCCUGCAGGAGAGACCCCAUAGGCCGCGCCUCCCCAGGGCUGAACCGGCCUGGAGUAAGGCUGCUCUAGCCCUAGUGUAACUAAGCUCAGAGUCCCACCCAAGAUCAAAGCGAAGCCCAAGUCACUGAGCACAGGCCGGACACGCACAGCCCUCUCUCCAGGAGGACUGAAAGUAAAAGAGAAAAUUCCAGAUCAUAAAGAAAGUAAAAACACCAUGCCCAGCAUCCCAGCAAAAAUUACCCACAUGCCAAGAAGCAGGAAAAUGUGACCAGCAAAAACGUGAAUCAGGAGAAAUAGACCCAAAGAUGACCGCAAUGAUGGAAUUACCAGACAACACCCUAAGACAGUCUUUCAAACAUUUUUAAAGGGAAAUGUAAACAUAAAGAGGGAAAUGGAAGAUAUAGAAAGAACCAAAUGGAACUUUAUAAAAUCUCCAGUGAAGAAUGAGCUGGGCAGGUGUGUUAGCCGGCUCGGGUGGCCAUAACGAAUACCGCAGUAUCCUGGGUAAACAGCAGGAAUUUAUCGCCUCGCAGGCUGGAGGCUGGAGUCCACGAGCAAGCUGUGGUGGGGCUGGUCUCCCUGAGACCUCUCGGCUUGCCUUGUAGACGGCCUCCUUCUCACCAUGUCCCCACAUGGUCCUUUCUCUGUGCAUGCGCAUCCCUGGGGUCUCUUUGGGUGUCCAAAUUUCCUAUUCUCCAUAGGCCUGCUCUCAGAUUGGAUUAAAGCCCACCCAGAUGGCCUCAGUUACCCUUAAUUACCACCUUUAAGGCCCUAUCUCCAAAUAUAGCCACAUUCCAAGGUAUUGGGGGUUAGGGUUUGAACAUACGAAUUUGGGGGGACGCAAUUUGGCCCAUAAAAGUAGGGUUAACACAGGCUGGACACUUCAAGAUGAUAUCCAUGAACUUGAAGCUAUAGUAAUAGAAACUAUCCAAAAUGAGGUACAAAGAGAAAAAAAGAAAAGGGAAAAAAAAACAGGGCCUCAGUGAUGCCUGGAAAAUAUCAAGCUGUCUAACAUCAAUAUAAGUGGAGUCUUACAAAACAAGAGAGAGGCAAGAACAGAAAAAUUAAAGAAAAAGUAUAAACCUACAAACAAAAGAAUGCCUACAAACCCCAGGAAGGAUAAACAAGAAAGAACAUAUAACAAGGAAAAUCACAAUCAAAUUCCUGAAAAACAGGGAUAAAGGGAAAAACCCCAAAUCAGUCUCAGCGAACACCGUCACAUCCAGAGAAGCAGAGAUAAGGGGCACGGCUGAAUUCUCACCAGAAACAGUGCAAGUCAGGGACGAUAGAAACAUCUAGAACACGCUGGAGAACAUCUCAACUUAGACUUCCAUACACAGUGAAGGUAUUUGCCCAAAAUGGAAGCACAACAAAGACUGAGGACUUCCAUUUCAUGAUUUCUAUAAAAGCUCCGGUCGUCCAUCACCAGCAGACUUUCAUUACAAGAAAUGUGAAAGGACUUUCUUCAAAGACAAGGAAGUCGGUACCCAAUGAAAACGCAUCUCUACUCAAAGGAAUGGAGAGUGAAAGAAAUGGUAAAUAUGUCAGUAAACAUGAGACAUCUUUUUCUCAUUUUUAAAAUUUCUUUUAAAAAUAAUAGAAAGCUUAAAGAAAAAUAACAAUGUGCUGUCAUGGUCACAGCACGUGGAAGUAAAAUCCAUGACAAUAAGAGCAAGAAGCCUGGGGCAGGGAAACGUGAGUGGACUGUGUAAGGUGCUUUUCAUGGUCUGUCAAGCGGGUGAUAGUGGGAGGUGAGGACAGGUGCAUAUUGUAAGCCCUAGAGCAGCCGCUGAUAAAUAAAAUGAAGAUGUGUAGCAAAUAAGCCCACAGUGCAGAUGAAUGAAAUACCCAAAAAACACUCAAUUCGUCAAGAAGAAGGCAUAAAGGAGGAAACAAGAAACAAAGAACAGCAAAUAAUUAUCAAAAUAUGGACCCAAACCCAACCACACAGGAAACUACAUGGAAUGGAAAUGGUCUCAAUCCUCCAGUUAAAUGCAGACAUUGUCUUACUGCAUGCAAAACCAAAACUGUAGGCUGACGUGCAAAGGAUACUGUACACAGAAAGAGACAGCAGCCAAAAGAAGAGGACAGCGAUUGGAGAUUGCAGGGUUCUAGAGGCCGGGGGCUGUGCAGAAACAGAGCCCCCAAAUCUGCAGAGGCAGCUGAGAGACUCCCACAGCCAACGUCUCAGUCGAUGGUGAAGACGGCAUGCUUUCACCCAAGAACAGGACGAGGCAGGGACGCCCACUCAUCCCCUUCUGCACAACACUGCACUGGAGUCUCAGAAAGGGCAACGCGGCAAGAAAAAGAAAGAGAAGGCGCGGCGAUGGGAGCGGAAGGGAAACAUUGCUUCUUCGCAGACAACGUGACCACAUAUAUAAAAGUUCUACAAUGUCUACAGAAAGGCUAAGUGGCCUACACAGCUUAUUUAGUGACGUCACAGGACACAAGGCCAACAGUUUAGAAAAUACAGAUGGGUUUUUGAAAUUUAAAAGAGCAAGAACACACUCACAUUAAAAACAUGAAGCAUCUGGGACAAAUUCAACAGAAUGUGUGCAGGCCUGUGCAGGCCCUGCCGAGGGAGGGGACAGAGGACGCCGUAAAUGGAAAGGUACGAUGCUCACAAAGUGGAAGACUGGGUUUCGGCAAGAUGUCAGUUCUCCCCCAAGUAACCAGAGAUCAAUGUAGUCCCAAUCAAACUGCAGCAGGCUUGUUUGUGGAAAUUGAUACGCUGAUUUUUUACACUCAUGUGAAAACAGAAAGGAGUUAUCGUGGCCAAAACAAUUUUGAAAAGGAAGAGCAGGGCUGAAGGACGUGAGCUGUAAGCCUCGUGGAUCCAGCCCAGAUGGUGUAGGCAGGAGGAGUACCAACCGGUCGACGAGACGGAAGAGACGGAGUCCACAAACAGACCCGCUCGUGUGCGAUCACCAGAGUGUUGUCGGAGGCGCCACAGUAAUCCCACAGGGGAAAGGUAAUCUUUGUAGGCAACAGUUGCUGGAACAGGGAGAAUCAAGGCGGCAAAAAUGAAGCUCAGCCUUUACCCUCACCACGAGCAAAAAGUAGCCCAAAGGGACCAUAGGCCUAAAUGUAAAAGCUAAAAUUAUUAAACUUCUGGUAGAAAACAUAGGAGAAAAUCUUUGUGACCUUGAAGUGGGCAAAGAUUUCUUAGAGAGGACAUGAAAGACAUAAACCAUCACAGAAAAACAGAUAAAUUGGACUUCAUCCAAAUUAAAGACUUUGCUCUUCAAAGUUUGAUAUUAAGGAAAUGAGAAGGCAAACCACCUGCUGGGGAAAAUAUCCACAACACACAUGUCUUGCCCAAAAGAUAUAUUUUUUAAAAAUUUCUUACAACUCAAUAAGAAGACAAACAACUCAAUAUUCUUUUAAUGGUCAAGAUUUUUGAACAGAUCCUUCCCCAAAGAAGACACACAGACGGCACAUGCAAAGAUGCUCAGCAUCAUUAGUCAACAGGGAAAUGCAAAUUAAAAUGACAAGGAGAUACCACUUCACAGCUAUCAGAGUGGCUAAGGGUAAAGUCUGACCAUAUCAGGUAUUGACGAGGAUAUGGCGUUACUGGAUCUGUUGACACUGCUGGUGGGAAUGGAAAGUGGUACGACCACUUUGGAUGACGGUUUGGCAAACGCUUACAAAGUUAACCACACGCUUUCCAUCUGACCCAGCCAUUCCACUCCUAGGUAAAUAACCUAGACAAAGGAAAAUAUACGUCCACACCAAAAGCUGUUUACAGACUUUCAUAGCAGCUUUACGCACAUUAACCAAGAACCGGCAGCCACCCAGACACCAUGAACAGGUGAAUGGAUACACAUAUGGUGGCAUAGUCAUAAAACGGGAUACAACUCAGUGAUAAGAAAGAGUGAUAUUGAUACACAGCGUCAUGGAGGGACCUCGCGGUCAUUAUGCUGAGUGAAGAGGCCGGACCCCAAGGAGCGACAGAGUGUGACUGCGUUGAUGUGAAAGUCUGGAACAGGCAGGUGCAAGGCAGAGGCAGAGAAAGCAGGUCACACAUGCCUGGACCAGGGGUGGGGACUGCCUGGAAGGGGCUCGUGUGGGUCACAGAGGGCUGCCAUGCCAAUGUCCCCUGGCCUGGGUGGCCUAAACAACAGAAAUUUACUUCUCUCAGUUGGAGGCUGGAAGGCUGAGAUCAAGGUGCAGGCUGGCUGGUCUCCUGAGGCCUCCCUCCUUGGCCCGCAGAUGGCCACCUUCUCCCAGUGUCCUCACGCGGCCUUUUCUCUGUGCACCAGCAUUCCUGAUGUCUCUUUCUCUUCUGAAGUCCUACCGGGUCAGGGCCCCAGGCUUACGACCUCAUUUAACCGUAACGACCUCCUGACAGCCCUGCCUCCAAAUUCGGUCACCCUGGGGGUCAGGUCUUCAAUAUAUGAAUUUGGGGGACACAAUUCAGUGCAAAGAGUCUCCAACAAGAACGCGAGUUCCCAAGGACAGGGAGGUUUCUCCGCCACUCACAGCUACGUCCCCAACACCUGGCACAGAGUGGGCACUCGGAACAGACCCACUGGGCAGAUGCGAGGUAGAGGAAAGCCCUCGACAGCCUAGAGCUGGCCUGGCGCUAUCAGCCGGCCUUGGUGUUCUCCAGGUAAAUUAAUGUCAUGGCACGUCAACAUCGACAAGGAUACACAGACAGGUAUGAACUCAGACAAACAGUCACUGUCACGCCACAAAAACAACCAAAUACCGCCGCCCUGGCAAAUACGGGUGACUGCUGCUCCCUCCCUCACCACCCACACAAUGUCAGCCAUGCCCUUCUGCUUACAUCCUCGACAGGAUGCAUUCAGAUCCCCAUCGUGGAGCACCCGCUCCUCCAGCACUCAAUCCAGCACGACCAAAAUCACCCAGCACCCCCUAGAUGCCACCAUUCCUGCCCAACACGUCUCACGAAGGCCCCCGGUCCCCGCAGGUGUGUCCUCUCACUGUGAUGGGGCAGCGUCCCAACUUCUCGGGGCGCAGGUGCGGCGUGGUGGUGGCUGCAAGGUGCUGGCCGCUGUUGGGGUUCUCCAGGUGAAGCAGCCACAAGACGAACCCAGUGCUCUUUCUCUCGCUAAUGUUGACCCCCGGGAGACAGCUCUGGUAAGGUGAUUUGCUAAAAGAUCUGGGACCCCCACACCACCAACUGCGUCCACACCCACUCCCACCCCAGCCCUGAGGGCAGGGAGGCAGAGAGGCUUGAAAGGGGACAGAGAAGCUCAACCUGUGAUGCGUUAAAAAAAAAAAAAAAAAAAAAGCAUGUCUGCGUGUGUAUGUUUCUCUGUGUCCCGAAAAAUUCCGGGUGCCUGUGCCUCAGGGUGGGUGGGGAGAGCUCUCGCCAACAACAAACUUCCACUUUCUGCUGUGGUCUGUUCCGCACUGCGUGAGUUUUUGUAACAUCACGUGUCACUUUUACAAGAAAAAGGCUGAUCAAGAGCCAUAUUAACAGUCAUUGCUGGUGACGGCCGGGCCACCAGGCCAGCCCCACGUACCCCACCAUUUCCCCAGAAGGGAGCUCGGGUCCCUCGAGGAGUCAGGGGGCAGAAAGUAGGACAGAGGUUCAGGGGCUGGGGGAGCGAGAUGAGGAGUUAGCGCUCAAUGGGGACAGAGUUCCUACUGAGAUGACAUAAAAGUUCUGGAGACGGAUGGUGGUGAUGGUUGCACAUUAACGCGAAUGUGCUUAAGGCCACUGAGUUGUACACUUACAAAUGGUUAAAUGGUAAAUCUUACGUAAUAUAUAUUUCAUCGCAAUUUUUAAAAUACAUCAAAUUUGUUUGUUAAAAGAAAGCAGGAGGGAGCCUCGUGGUGCUGGUUCUGUUUUGACCACAUCAGUGUCAACACCCCCACACACACUGCGCAGUAGUUUUGCAAGACGUUACCAACGGGGGAAACUGGGUGAAAGGUACACGGGAUCUUUCUGUAUGAUUUCUUACAACUCCCUGUGAACUAUCUCAAAAUAAAAAGUGCAACAACAAAAAAGUCAGAUGAGAAGCACUCUGAACGGAUGUUUGCACUUCAGUGGCGUACAAAGUUGUCCAACCAGAGCCCGAGGCCCCCGGGCCUCCGUGCACCCCUCACUGUCAGCGGGCGGCCCAGGCACAGCGGGC
RNAcentral lists this long non-coding RNA (12922 nucleotides) under Equus caballus (horse). RNAcentral describes it as "lncRNA (ENSECAG00000044824.1)". The record is from RNAcentral. Lineage: Eukaryota; Metazoa; Chordata; Mammalia; Perissodactyla; Equidae.